GGUCCUGACUAGCUCAACUGGUAGAGCAUGGCAUUAACAUUGCCAGGGUAAGGGGUUCGAUUCCCACUGGGACCA
RNAcentral lists this transfer RNA (75 nucleotides) under Merluccius polli (Benguela hake). RNAcentral describes it as "tRNA-Val". It matches the Rfam family "tRNA". From Rfam's summary of the family: Transfer RNA (tRNA) molecules are approximately 80 nucleotides in length. Their secondary structure includes four short double-helical elements and three loops (D, anti-codon, and T loops). Further hydrogen bonds mediate the characteristic L-shaped molecular structure. tRNAs have two regions of fundamental functional importance: the anti-codon, which is responsible for specific mRNA codon recognition, and the 3' end, to which the tRNAs corresponding amino acid is attached (by aminoacyl-tRNA synthetases). tRNAs cope with the degeneracy of the genetic code in two manners: having more than one tRNA (with a specific anti-codon) for a particular amino acid; and 'wobble' base-pairing, i.e. permitting non-standard base-pairing at the 3rd anti-codon position. Lineage: Eukaryota; Metazoa; Chordata; Actinopteri; Gadiformes; Merlucciidae. The record is from RNAcentral.